This 76-nucleotide transfer RNA is filed under the name Holosporaceae bacterium. Its description in RNAcentral is "tRNA-Gln". It matches the Rfam family "tRNA". From Rfam's summary of the family: Transfer RNA (tRNA) molecules are approximately 80 nucleotides in length. Their secondary structure includes four short double-helical elements and three loops (D, anti-codon, and T loops). The record is from RNAcentral. Lineage: Bacteria; Pseudomonadati; Pseudomonadota; Alphaproteobacteria; Holosporales; Holosporaceae.
UGGGGUGUAGCCAAGAGGUAAGGCAGCGGGUUUUGGUCCCGCCAUUCCGUGGGUUCGAAUCCUACCACCCCAGCCA